AGAGUUUGAUCCUGGCUCAGGAUGAACGCUGGCGGCGUGCCUAAUACAUGCAAGUCGAACGAGUUCUGAUUAUUGAAAGGUGCUUGCAUCUUGAUUUGAUUUUGAACGAGUGGCGGACGGGUGAGCAACACGUGGGUAACCUGCCCUUAAGUGGGGGAUAACAUUUGGAAACAGAUGCUAAUACCGCAUAAAUCCAAGAACCGCAUGGUUCUUGGCUGAAAGAUGGCGUAAGCUAUCGCUUUUGGAUGGACCCGCGGCGUAUUAGCUAGUUGGUGAGGUAACGGCUCACCAAGGCAAUGAUACGUAGCCGAACUGAGAGGUUGAUCGGCCACAUUGGGACUGAGACACGGCCCAAACUCCUACGGGAGGCAGCAGUAGGGAAUCUUCCACAAUGGACGCAAGUCUGAUGGAGCAACGCCGCGUGAGUGAAGAAGGCUUUCGGGUCGUAAAACUCUGUUGUUGGAGAAGAAUGGUCGGCAGAGUAACUGUUGUCGGCGUGACGGUAUCCAACCAGAAAGCCACGGCUAACUACGUGCCAGCAGCCGCGGUAAUACGUAGGUGGCAAGCGUUAUCCGGAUUUAUUGGGCGUAAAGCGAGCGCAGGCGGUUUUUUAAGUCUGAUGUGAAAGCCCUCGGCUUAACCGAGGAAGUGCAUCGGAACUGGGAAACUUGAGUGCAGAAGAGGACAGUGGAACUCCAUGUGUAGCGGUGAAAUGCGUAGAUAUAUGGAAGAACACCAGUGGCGAAGGCGGCUGUCUGGUCUGUAACUGACGCUGAGGCUCGAAAGCAUGGGUAGCGAACAGGAUUAGAUACCCUGGUAGUCCAUGCCGUAAACGAUGAAUGCUAGGUGUUGGAGGGUUUCCGCCCUUCAGUGCCGCAGCUAACGCAUUAAGCAUUCCGCCUGGGGAGUACGACCGCAAGGUUGAAACUCAAAGGAAUUGACGGGGGCCCGCACAAGCGGUGGAGCAUGUGGUUUAAUUCGAAGCAACGCGAAGAACCUUACCAGGUCUUGACAUCUUUUGAUCACCUGAGAGAUCAGCUUUCCCCUUCGGGGGCAAAAUGACAGGUGGUGCAUGGUUGUCGUCAGCUCGUGUCGUGAGAUGUUGGGUUAAGUCCCGCAACGAGCGCAACCCUUAUGACUAGUUGCCAGCAUUUAGUUGGGCACUCUAGUAAGACUGCCGGUGACAAACCGGAGGAAGGUGGGGAUGACGUCAAAUCAUCAUGCCCCUUAUGACCUGGGCUUCACACGUGCUACAAUGGAUGGUACAACGAGUUGCGAGACCGCGAGGUCAAGCUAAUCUCUUAAAGCCAUUCUCAGUUCGGACUGUAGGCUGCAACUCGCCUACACGAAGUCGGAAUCGCUAGUAAUCGCGGAUCAGCACGCCGCGGUGAAUACGUUCCCGGGCCUUGUACACACCGCCCGUCACACCAUGAGAGUUUGUAACACCCGAAGCCGGUGGCGUAACCCUUUUAGGGAGCGAGCCGUCUAAGGUGGGACAAAUGAUUAGGGUGAAGUCGUAACAAGGUAACC
RNAcentral lists this ribosomal RNA (1530 nucleotides) under Lacticaseibacillus rhamnosus. RNAcentral's name for it is "bacterial SSU rRNA". It matches the Rfam family "Bacterial small subunit ribosomal RNA". The record is from RNAcentral. Lineage: Bacteria; Bacillati; Bacillota; Bacilli; Lactobacillales; Lactobacillaceae.